Molecule: transfer-messenger RNA, 366 nt
Filed under: uncultured Treponema sp.
Lineage: Bacteria; Pseudomonadati; Spirochaetota; Spirochaetia; Treponematales; Treponemataceae
Rfam family: transfer-messenger RNA
About the family: Bacterial tmRNA, also known as 10Sa RNA or SsrA, is named for its dual tRNA and mRNA-like properties.
Source: RNAcentral
GGGGAUGUACCGGUUUCGACAGAUAAGAGUAAUCUUGUGCUGCAGGUAGGUGUGAAGGUGCCUUAAACUGACAAAAAAAAUAACUGCAAAACGUAGAGAAGACGAACAGUCUGAAAACGAACAGUUAGCACUCGCUGCUUAAGCAGUGCCGGUUUUUAUGGUGUGCUGUUCCUAACGCCAUAACAAACUGUCACAAACAGGGACUUGCACUGUAUUAUGUCCAGGUUUUACAGUGGACUUUUUCUGGAAUACGGAGACGACGCUUUUGAAGCUGCUACCGUCUCCCGACAACUACCUCGCUUCAAUAAACCUGUAGAGGUGCCUGGUUAGCUUAACUGGACGGGGGUUCAAUUCCCCCCAUCUCCA